CACCAACUUGUAUUACAUGCAACAAAGAACCAUGACAUUCUAGAAUGUCAGGUACAACAGAGACAGCUGUUUGUCCCCCAGUAUCCUUCAGACAAAGCCAUAUAUGAUUGAAGGUUAUCAGUACUGUGCUUUUGGAGGAUUCAGAAGAAGUUAUAUCUGAUUGGGAGAUUGAAAAGGAUUGGCCUGAAGGAGAGGUGGUUUUUGAACUGCAUCUUAAAGGAUGAGGAAACUGAGGCUGAGAGGGUAGAGAACUUUGCCUGAGGUCACUCAGCAGGGACCCACCCAUCACAGUAAAUGCCAGCACUGCUGAUGCCAAAACAAUGUUAUUUGUAGGCCCUCGGAAUUUGUGACCUGAAGGAAGAAGAGCAGGGCCGUGGGAAGUAUGUAACCAGUGUCAUGCCCCUGGUCCCAAGGAAGCAGUGGCUUGGUAAAGAGGGGACCCCCGUCAAUAACUCCCUGUAAUUACUGGGCACCCACUCUGAGCUCCUCAGUGGAAUCCUAAGGUUAAUAAGACUGUCUCUAGCCACUGGGGCUCCCAGCCUGGAGUGAGGUAAGAGGAGUGGAGCCGGCUGGGGAGGGAGACGAACACAUACACAGAAGAUUCAGACACACUUGCAAUGUAUUGCUGGGGAUUCUCCAGCAUUGGCAUGAUGGAGAGGGUGGAGAAUCAUUUGACCGCCUCCGCCUAGGAUUGCAGAGUUCAGCUGGCCAUCAUCCACCAGCCGGGGGACUGUGCACAUCAGUUAACCUCUCCUCUCAGGCCUUGAAAAGCACCAGGCUUAGUACACGUUUGUUAAAUGAAUGCACUGCAGUUUUUUUGCUUGUUAAAGGCAGGUAAUAAUAAUGAUAUUGCUGACUAAGGGCUCCCAUCCACUCCCAGUGAGCCCGGUGCCCCCCCGGGCCUCCUCAGUGAGCUGAGGAGGCUCAGCAGUGCCUGCACGUCCCCUCGCCACAAUGUCAUGUGCCACCUCUUCAAAGGAGGGAUGUACCAGCUAGUGGACGUGACCUUGACUGCAAAGGGCGGCACGCAGCUGAUGUAAUGGUCGCUUAAGUGUUCACAAAUGCCUGAACACCCUGUCCUACCUGGUCCUACCUGGAUGCUGGCCUCAGUAAGCUCCUGGGCUCAUUGAAGAUGAACCUAGCAGUAGUAUUUACACCACUUGUUGUGUGCCCACUGUGGGCCCGGCGCCAUGCCGAGUGCUCUAUGGAUGUGAGAUGAGAACACUGAAGCAGUUUUUUCUAAAGAUAGCUGCCUGGCACAGUGGCUCACAUCUGUAGUCCCAGCAUUUGGGGAGGCCAAGGCAGGUGGAUCACUUGAGGCCAGGAAUUCAAGACCAGCAUGGCCAACAUGUGCUGGGAGAGAAAAGCAUACGACAUAGACAGGGAGGUCAAGCUCCACCACGCAGAUGAGGUGCAGGCCACCAGUCUUCCUCUGCCACAUCUCUUUCUGAAAAGGCAGCCUGUGCUGAGAAACCAUGACUGAGUAAGCCAAGCUUUGUUGGCCGCACCUGCCAAGCCACAGGGUGCCUCAGGCUUGGAGCAUCCCGGAGCCAGUUACAACCCAAGACUUCAGCCUUCUGGAAGGUGUUGGGUCAGCCACCCUGAAGGACGAUCCUGCCCAAGUGACAUGCUUUGCUCUUCCUUCUCACCCAGGACUUCACAUUCACCCUUGCAAUCCAUGUGGGGACACUGUUGGAUAGGAGGCGUGGUCCCAGCGUGGUCUCCCUGUCUGGGCCUCUGCCUAUGCCAAAUGUUUGCCUUACGCUGCACACUCAAGAGGUUCCAUGUAUACAGAUGGGAAUUCCAGAGCUACAGAAAAGGCAGCAAGCACCAUGAUUUAAGCUAACCAGUGUGGAUUCACACCUUCCUCUCUCUCUAUCAGUGGCAGAACUACCAGCUAGAGUAAGAAGUGGUUGAUCCAGGACCUAAACAUUCUGGAAACUCUUGCCCACUUCUGGGAGAAAUGACCCAAUCCAUAGUACUAAGCACACCUUAACUUUCGUAGGACGCAGGCAAGUUGUCAUACCGUGUGCCUAAAUAUAGAAAAAUGAUCCACUGGACUAAUAAAGUGUUAAAUAAA
This 2080-nucleotide long non-coding RNA is filed under the name Homo sapiens (human). Its description in RNAcentral is "HSALNT0368132". The record is from RNAcentral. Lineage: Eukaryota; Metazoa; Chordata; Mammalia; Primates; Hominidae.